GGAGUGUUUCGUCAUCAAUAAAAGAUACACAGCCAUUGAAUAUUUAAAUAUAGUGAUCUGAUUCUUCUUCUGAGACUUACCGGUCCGGUCUUGUCUUUUCCAUCCUUAAUUGAGCUGAAUCGGGUGUAUUCAUUCUCAUUCUUUUUUCUAAAAUGUGAAUAUGUGAUUUAAGCUUCAUUUUGUUUUUGCGUAAGUGAUUUAAGCUUCAUACACUUGUAGAAUAUACAAAGGUUCUAAGUUGGUUCAUGAAUCAUCACCAACCAAUAGCUAGUUUUCCUGGCCAUCUAAUUAAGGCGUUCCUUGCUUUUGACAUGGCAAUUAUCAUUUUGUAACUCAUCGGCUUGCUUCUAUACCAAACACUUAAACAAUCCCCACCGGUAUAUAGUAAAAAUGAAUGUGAAACCAUGGUGGAAUGUUUUUUUUUUCUUUCUAUUGCCAACUCCCUGAAAGCCCUUGAAUUAUUAUCCUACUUGAAAGCAUAUUUUUUCUGCAAAAUUUUAGAGUAAAGUAAAAAGAUUAAUCAUUUGGAACUUGGUAAAUUGGUAUUACAAUUAGAGUUUUAGAGUAAACAAUAAUUCGAAAUUAUUGUUUGAGUACCUUUACUUUUCUUUGUUUCCUCAAAAUAUGUAGGUCGGCAACGUGAUGCCCUUAUGAUUAGCAACUGCAUCUCUGAAUUAGUCAUGUUGUUUACUUUGCGUCUUCCUGUUUUCUCUUACAAAUUCAAGGCGUGAAGCAUAAUAAAGACCUUCACUAUCAGAUUGCCAAAUAUCACUCUGCAACUCUUUGAACUCUGCAUAUAUUGCCAAAUACAUAAACUAUCAGAUUAAAAAAGAGUAAAUGCGAAUCUUCUCAAUUCUCAAAAUUCAAGACAGGGAAUUAUCCAAUGACCUAAGCAAUGAUUAGGUAAAGAUGAUAAAGUUCCAAUCACCUAGAAUUCCCAGCCCCUCCGUUCCAAUGAUUAGGUAAAGAUGAGUCGUCUAUCUCUCCUGAGGGAUACUUGAAUAAAUUACUAAGACACAAACAGUAAGAAAUUCUUUGCCCAUGGCUGAUUCGAUGAGAAACCAGACGUGAGCAAGCAAGAAAACAUAAAUAUUAAAUUGUAAAAGAUUAAACGGAAGAUUGAAAGUGAACCUAAGAAUCUGAUUUGGAGCCACGCUUUAAUUCUUGGUUUUUAAGAAAAAUAACGAAUGAAAAGAAGCCAAACUAUGAGGAUGAUGGCAAAGGGAUAAGAGAAUAAAGAGAAAAUUGUGUCUUAUUCAUAUCAAAGAAAGAGUAUAUAUACAUAUUACAGGGAACCCUAAACAUACUUAAGGAUAUUAACAUAAAACUCUAGGAAUUAUACUAUAUUUACAUAUAACUCCCUAAUACUCCCCCUCAAGUUGGAGCAUGAAGAUUAUACAUGCCCAACUUGCGCCGUAAAUAAGCAAAUUGUUGAGAACCCAAAGCCUUAGUAAAGAUAUCCGCUGGUUGCUCCGUAGUGGUAAGAUGUGCAGUAACCAGUGAACCAUCCUGAAUUUCAUCCGGAAUAAAAUGACAAUCCCUCUCAAUAUGCUUCGUCCGCUCAUGAAAAACUGGAUUGGCAGCAAUAUGUAAGGCUGCCUUAUUGUCACAAAACAAACGUAUCGCCUGCGGAUGAGACACUCCAAAACAUCCUAAAAGCUCACGAUUCCAUUUCAACUCUCGGGCAGUAAAACUCAUUGCACGAUAUUCAGCCUCUGCGGAAGAAAAUGACACCACAUCUUGUUUCUUUGUCUUCCAAGCAAUCGGAGAAUCACCCAACAUAACAAUAAAGCCUGUAACCGAUCUCCGAGACAUGGAACAUGUAGAAAAAUCCGAAUCACAAUAAGCUGUCAAUUGUAAAUCAGGAUCAGCACUCAACACAAUACCUUGACCCGGACAGCCUUUAAGAUAUCUGACAACCCGUGUAACUGCAGCCCAAUGCUUGGCACGUGGUUGUUGCAUAAAUUGAGCCAACAUAUGCACAACAUAGGACAAAUCUGGUCGAGUAAAAGUAAGAUAUACCAAACGCCCAACAAGCCUCCUAUACCUCUCGACAUCCUCAUAAAACUCUCCCUCAUCAUCCGGCAACUUAUGGUUUUGCUCAAGCGGAGUAGACACUGGUUGACAUCCCAACAACCCACAUUCACUUACAAUAUCCAAAGCAUACUUCCUUUGCGACAAAUAAAAACCAUCAGGAGACCGAGAUACUUCAAUGCCCAAAAAAUAUUUCAUAGCCCCCAAGUCUUUCAUAUGAAAACAUUCACUAAGAUAUCCCUUAAACUCCUGAAUACCUUUAAGAUCAUUUCCCCCAAUCAACAAAUCAUCAACAUAGACCAACACAAAGAGUUGCAUAGAUCCACGCUCCAAGGUAAAAAGAGAGUAAUCGGCUACCUGCUGAGCAAACCCAUACCCUUUUAGUGCUGCUGCAAGCUUAGCAAACCAACAGCGUGGUGCUUGACGGAGACCGUAUAAAGAUUUCUUAAGUCGACAAACUUUUGAUUUAUCUUGAGAAACGAAGCCAGGAGGUAGUCUCAUAUAAACUUCUUCCUCAAGAUCCCCAUGUAGAAAUGCAUUAUGAACAUCCAUCUGAUGUACUUCCCAUCCUUUGACAGCCGCAAUCUUAAGAAACUCUCGAAUAGUUGUCAUUUUCACAACCGGAGCAAAUGUCUCAUCAAAAUCUAACCCUUCGACUUGUCGAUUUCCCAUGGCCACCAAACGAGCCUUGUAACGCUCAAUUUCCCCAUUCGACUUAUACUUGAUAGUAAAUAUCCAAUGACUGCCAAUAGCUUUCUUUCCUGGUGGAAGAUCAGUAAUAUCCCAAGUAUCAUUUGCUUCCAAAGCAUUCACCUCUCCAGACAUCGCAUUGCACCACUUAUCAUCCUUAACAGCUUCAGAAUAUGACUUAGGAACUGACACAGCAGUAAUAGCCGCAAGAAAAGCUCUCUGUGAAUCAGAAAAUCGGUCAACUCACAUAAUUUGCAAUAGGAUAGAGGACCGUACCUGGAGCAGAAGACGCUGGAGAGGAGGCAGAUGAGAGUGUGGGUGGAUCUAUGGAGCAACGUGUAGUAUGAAGUACAUAAUCACUUAGAUGACCCGGAAGUUUUCGUUCCCGUUCACUUUGGCGGACUUUGAUCACUUUCCCAUUCGAGUUAUCAUCACUCAAUGUUGCAGUAGUUGGUGAUGAUUCACUCCCCCUUUCGUCCAAAGUAAGAACCGAUGUAUGCUUAGGACCUUCAGACCCCUGAAUUUCAACUCCCGUUGGUUCUACAGGUGGAUCGAUCGAUCCAGGAGACUGAUCGAUCGAUCCAAUCGGCUCGGAGGUUUGUUGACAUCGGUCCGGAUCGAUCGAUCCCCUCUGUGGAUUGAUCGAUCGCUCAGCCUCUGGGAUUCCGUCGUCGGACAAUGUAGCCGGAUCGAUCGAUCCAUGUGGCAGAUCGAUCGAUCCCGAGUCUCUGGGAAAAAUUGGAGCAUCGUCAAUAAGUAGUGGAUCGAUCGAUCCCGGCUGUGGAUCGAUCGAUCCCUGUUCCAACGUCUGAAAUGGAAACACAUCUUCUUGAAAGACCACAUCUCGUGAAACAAAAAAUUCAGAUUUCUCCAAAUCGUACACCCUCCAUCCUUUCUGUCCGAAAGAGAAACCCAUAAACACACAACGCCGGCUCCGUUCCCCAAAUUUAUCCUUAUCUCGAAGAACAUUCUUAGCAAAACAUAAGCUACCAAAGACCCGUAAUGUCGUAAAAUUAGGUGCCGUACCGAACAACAUCUCAUAAGGUGUCUUGCCCUGAAGAACUAUAGAUGGUGUGCGAUUAAUCAAGUGACAAGCAGUAAGAACACAUUCUCCCCAAAACUUACGUGGUAAGGUGGCUUGAAACAUCAAUGAGCGAGCCACAAUCAGAAUGUGUCUAUGUUUCCUCUCCACUCGACCAUUUUGUUGAGGAGUAUAGACACACGAAGUUUGAUGCAUGAUCCCUUCAUCCACAAAAUAAGAUUUCAAUCCCAUAAAUUCUCCACCAUUGUCACUACGAACUACCUUCACCUUUUUGUCAAAUUGGCGCUCCACCAUCUUAAAGAAAUUCUUAAGAGUCACUGCUACUUCACUUUUCUCACGCAACAAGUGCACCCAAACAGCCCGUGAAUAAUCAUCUACAAUCGUCAGAAAAUACGCAGCCCCCGAAGUAGAUAAUAUGCGAUAUGGACCCCAAACAUCACAAUGAAUUAAAUCGAAAAUGCCAGCAGCUUUAUUAGAACUUUCAUGAAAGCAAUCACGGGUCUGUUUCGCCCUCAAACAAAUAUCACAAACUGUUGUGGAACUCACUGGUUUCAUAAUAUCUAAGUAAUGCGAUAAAUAAGGAACAACACGACUUGACGGAUGACCAAGACGACGAUGCCAUAAUUCCCAUGAUCCUGAACUGCUUACAGUCUUGUGUAUCUUCGCACCAAUCACCCCUCGAAGCACGUACACGUCCCCACACUCUUCACCAACCCCAAUCAGCGUCUUUAUAGCACGGUCCUGUAUAACACACAACUCAUCAGUGAAUGUAAUGGAACCCUUAACCAUUUUCAAUAACUUUGCAACAGAAAUUAAGGAGCAUGUUAAAUCUUUUGAAUACAAAACUCCUUGUAACCACAAAUCACCCCCGAGACAUAUAUCUCCCUGUGUCGUGGACACCACAUGAUCACCAUCCGGAAGUCCAAUCAUACAAGGAUUGGUAUUCACCACAUUAGACAAAUAGUCUAGAUUACCAGUCAUGUGGUGUGACGCACCUGUGUCAAUAAUAAAGUCAACCCAUUCUUUCUUACCAUUCAACUUCUCAUUGGGAUUUGACUUUUGAGAAGCAAAGAGACCCUUGAGAGCAUUCCAUUGAUCAUCACUCAUUUGGGGGAGAGAUUGACGAUCCAAAUCAGCCGGUGUUCUUGUUGAAUUAGCUUGUAUUCCCCCAACAAUAUUUGCCUGAACACCCGUGACCGCGUUAGCCCUACCACCGGACCCGCGACCACAUCCAAAUCGGCCACCACGUCCUCCACGUCCACGUCCACCUCUCCCCACCAUUCAGAAAGGCCAAUUAUCUGAAAGCAAUCAGCCUUUGCAUGCCCAUACUUACCAUAAUGAGUACACGUCACGUCCUUCUCGCGAUAAAAAUUGGAAGUUUGACCCCGUUGCGCAGCCUGGACCGCAAACCCCACAGCCUCCGGAGUGGCAUCACGAUUCCUAGUAAUCGUGAGUUGUCUCUCUUCUCGAAUGAUCCUUUGAUAGACUUUUGAGAGCUUGGGUAGUGGUUCCAUACUUGUGAUAGUAGAACGCACCAUACCAAACUUCGCAGAAUCUAAACCAUUCAAGAAGGUAUUGGUUCUCUCUUCAUUACGGUCUUCUUCCAACUGAGCAGCCAGUUUUCCACAACCACAUGAUCGAAUAGGCUUGUAAAUUGCCAAUUCAUCCCACAUCUUCUUAAGUCUCCCAUAGUAUACCAUUAUCGUAUCCCCGUUCUACAGUUUGCUAUAUCAGCCCGAAGCUCACUGAUUCUUGGCCCGUUUCCCGCAGAGAAUUGAAGCUUCAAAUCUUCCCACAACGCUUGAGCUUCAUCCACCAUAGAAAUCGAUGUCCUGAGAGUCGGCUCAAUCGUGUUCAUAAUCCAAGCGAUUAAAUAGAAUUAACCACUUCCCACUGUUCAAUCUCAUCAUCCUUGGUAGGUUUCUCCAAGGUCCCAUCAAUAAACCCUAAUUUCCGUUUCGUUCGCAAGGCGUUCCGCACAUGCUUAGCCCAAUCUUCAUAGUUUUCUCCCUUUAAUUGAACAGUAGUGAUCACAUUACCCGGUCCAUCAGAAGGAUGGAGGUAAAGUGGAGAGGCCCUAGCUUUCUCCGCCACCGUGAGUCCACUUCCACCGCCGCCUUCCGCAGCUUUCUUGCUCAAUGCAAGCUCUCCUCCUCCGCUAUUCUCACCAUCAGCCAUAGUCUCUUCUCUUUCUCCCUUUGUUUGAUUUUCUUCUUAAAACCCUAGCUCUGAUACCAUGCCAAAGGGAUAAGAGAAUAAAGAGAAAGUUGUGUCUUAUUCAUAUCAAAGAAAGAGUAUAUAUACAUAUUACAGGGAACCCUAAACAUACUUAAGGAUAUUAACAUAAAACUCUAGGAAUUAUACUAUAUUUACAUAUAACUCCCUAAUAGAUGAGGCAAAGAUGAGAGAUCGAAACAUGUUUAUAUAUGAGAAUCACGAAGUGGUUUUUUUUAGAAGGAUGGGCGAGAAAAAGAGAUCGUGGAGUAGUGCCUCGUGAAACAGUUAUUUUGUUUGAUUAUCGUCUUUUACGGAUUAUGGGUUUUUUACAGAUUUCUCUGGAACAAUAUAAGAGAGAAGAAAAUUAAAUACGUUUUUC
RNAcentral lists this long non-coding RNA (6362 nucleotides) under Arabidopsis lyrata. RNAcentral describes it as "long non-coding RNA (ALYR_LNC002416)". Lineage: Eukaryota; Viridiplantae; Streptophyta; Magnoliopsida; Brassicales; Brassicaceae. The record is from RNAcentral.